GAUGAACGCUAGCGGCAGGCUUAAUACAUGCAAGUCGAGGGGCAGCACGGGUAGCAAUACCUGGUGGCGACCGGCAAACGGGUGCGGAACACGUACGCAACCUUCCCAUAACUGGUGAAUAGCCUUCCGAAAGGGAGAUUAAUACACCGUAACAUAACGAGUAGGCAUCUACUUGUUAUUAUAGGCUUCGGCCGGUUUUGGAUGGGCGUGCGCCUGAUUAGGUAGUUGGCGGGGUAACGGCCCACCAAGCCUGCGAUCAGUAACUGGUGUGAGAGCACGACCAGUCACACGGGCACUGAGACACGGGCCCGACUCCUACGGGAGGCAGCAGUAAGGAAUAUUGGUCAAUGGACGAAAGUCUGAACCAGCCAUGCCGCGUGAAGGAUUAAGGCCCUCUGGGUUGUAAACUUCUUUUAUCUGGGACGAAAAAGGGCUUUCUAGCUCACUUGACGGUACCAGAGGAAUAAGCACCGGCUAACUCCGUGCCAGCAGCCGCGGUAAU
RNAcentral lists this ribosomal RNA (502 nucleotides) under uncultured bacterium. RNAcentral's name for it is "bacterial SSU rRNA". It matches the Rfam family "Bacterial small subunit ribosomal RNA", at positions 28 to 524 of the family's 1533-position model. The record is from RNAcentral.